This 855-nucleotide ribosomal RNA is filed under the name uncultured Gammaproteobacteria bacterium. RNAcentral describes it as "bacterial SSU rRNA". It matches the Rfam family "Bacterial small subunit ribosomal RNA", at positions 68 to 920 of the family's 1533-position model. Lineage: Bacteria; Pseudomonadati; Pseudomonadota; Gammaproteobacteria. The record is from RNAcentral.
GGAUGAAGGGAGCUUGCUCCCUGAUUCAGCGGCGGACGGGUGAGUAAUGCCUAGGAAUCUGCCUGGUAGUGGGGGACAACGUUUCGAAAGGAACGCUAAUACCGCAUACGUCCUACGGGAGAAAGCAGGGGACCUUCGGGCCUUGCGCUAUCAGAUGAGCCUAGGUCGGAUUAGCUAGUUGGUGAGGUAAUGGCUCACCAAGGCUGCGAUCCGUAACUGGUCUGAGAGGAUGAUCAGUCACACUGGAACUGAGACACGGUCCAGACUCCUACGGGAGGCAGCAGUGGGGAAUAUUGGGCAAUGGGCGAAAGCCUGAUCCAGCCAUGCCGCGUGUGUGAAGAAGGUCUUCGGAUUGUAAAGCACUUUAAGUUGGGAGGAAGGGCAGUAAGUUAAUACCUUGCUGUUUUGACGUUACCGACAGAAUAAGCACCGGCUAACUUCGUGCCGCAGCCGCGGUAUACGAAGGGUGCAGGCGUUAAUCGGAAUUACUGGGCGUAAAGCGCGCGUAGGUGGUUUGUUAAGUUGGAAGUGAAAGCCCCGGGCUCAACCUGGGAACUGCUUUCAGAACUGGCAAGCUAGAGUAUGGCAGAAGGUGGUGGAAUUUCCUGUGUAGCGAUGAUAUGCGUAGAUCUAGGAAGGAACACCAGUGGCGAACGCUACCACCUGGGCUAAUACUGACACUGAGGUGCGAAUGCGUGCGGAGCAAACAGGAUUAGAUACCCUGGUAGUCCACGCCGUCAACGAUGUCGAGUAGCCGUUGGGAUCCUUGAGAUCUUAGUGGCGCAACUGACGCAUUAAGUCGACCGCCUGGCGAGUACGGCCGCAUGGCUAAGACUCACAUGACUUGACGGCGAU